UUAACAGUAUGAGGUCAUCAGGGCCCAGACUGAGAAAACUGGACUAUGACAAAUUUGCUGUUUAGGGGAGACCCAGAUGGCCCAGAAUUAAAGCAACAGGGUCAUCUGCUGCAAGGACAGCCCGUUGAGCUUUGAAUGUAACCUGAACUGCCAGCUCUGGUCAUUCAUAAUUCUCUCUCCCCAUCAUCUUCUUGAAGCUGUGACUUGGUCCCUAAGGGAGAAGGAAAGCCACAGCAAACUCUAAAUAAACAGCUUCCACAGCCCGAGAUUUCUCCCAGACCCCCUGAUGAAAGGAGCCGGGUUGGAACAGAGGCUGGGAGGAGCCCAGUUAAUAUAUGACAGUCAUUAUCAGAGGGAUUUUGGUGCUGCUGGAAAGCUAUAGCGGACAACACUCAGAAAAUGGACAGAAGGAAAAAUUAGUAGCCUGAAGUGGGCCUAGCUCUUCCUCUUCUCUGUUGCUUUCAUCUGAGAAGGGGAUCAUCGGCUUCGCCAGACUGAUGAAGAGGUCCACGACACCAGAGAGAGAACAAGCUGUUAAACAUUUAUCAACACAUCCCUAUGUAAAAGGCUGUGGAAGCAGUAUGGGGCAAUGAAUAUCAUACUAUCCACCAUGAGUGAUGGGUCUGGUAUCAAAAGAUCCAGAAAGCCAGGCUCCAGGAGCCGAUGUUCUACCUUAAUUGUACCUAUUGGGGACAGGAAAGGAAGAUAAACCAUAUUCUGUCACAUCCACUAGACAAACCACUGCAUUUAAAGUAAGAAGACUUACACAUCCCAUCAGAGGAGAAUGAGGACUACCACUGGAUGGAACCCUUUCCAGAUUUGCCCAGAAGGCUCACAUGGUGACUAAUGAAGGAUGGAAUGGAAAAUCAGUCCCUUGAGACAAGGGGACCUUAUUCAACAGAGGAGUCCUUUCUUUUUUAAUGUUCCAUCCUCAUUUUAUUCAGCUGUACUUUUAAAAAUCUACUCUUAGUGGGUACAGUAAACAUUCUGUUUAUCUGAGAAACAAAAAUAAAAAAAGCUUAAA
Vombatus ursinus (common wombat) is the source of this 1024-nucleotide long non-coding RNA. RefSeq lists it as uncharacterized. The transcript has 7 exons. The record is from RefSeq and is a predicted model, not a curated record. NCBI's taxonomy places the organism in Eukaryota, Metazoa, Chordata, Mammalia, Diprotodontia, Vombatidae.